Molecule: long non-coding RNA, 983 nt
Organism: Athalia rosae (coleseed sawfly)
Lineage: Eukaryota; Metazoa; Arthropoda; Insecta; Hymenoptera; Athaliidae
Exons: 3
Source: RefSeq, a predicted model, not a curated record
CGCUACACAAUGCGACACAGAUGCCCAUUGUUAACUAUUCGGAUGAAAUCUUCAGUCAGAUCUCCUUGUUGUUGCUUUCUCGUGUUUACUGUUUGGCGUCUGUUCUAAACGAUUGCAUAGUAUAUAAUAACGAGUUUAACGUGAUUGAUAUCUAUUCCACGAGAAUCGAAGAAAAUUGUGCGGGUCAAUUUCGCGUAUGCGGAAUUUUUUUAAAGCUAUAAAUAAAAUUCAUAAAACGAGAACUAGUCGGCUACAUUUCCGUGUAUUCAGUCGCAUUAUUGCGCUCCAAAUUUCUAGAGCUUCCCGAUGCUAUUUCAAGUACCAAACUACCUUCCUAUUCCCACGCUAUAAGCCUAUCGUUGUUCCAUAUUUAAAACAGCUAUGUCUACACAUCGCAGGUGAAAGAGUGUCUUCAAGGGUUAUCGAAGUGUUGCUGCACACCAAGUGCCGCAUAUCAUGAAACAAGUGGGCGAUCAAAAUGACGCAGCUGAAGGCCAUCGAUUUUUGAAUUUUUUGUAGCUGGAAAAAUUCACACCACGAAUAUUAUUUAUUAUAACUUGGAAAGGGUAAAAUUGCAAAUGGCUUUGAAGAAAGAAAAAAGACUGCAAGUACAAUUUGACAAUGAUAAUGUAAACUAGUGUAAGAAGAGGUAAGAUUUCCAGUCGAAUCGAUUUUCUAACAUCCGGGUUAACACUUGUCUAUAAUUGAUGGAAAUUCCUUUAUAAAUAUAUUUCACUUUAAUUACAGUUAAUGUAUCGAGAGGCGAACGAACUGGAGAACGGCGACUGCAUUACUCACAAGGUGCAAUAUAAGUAGCGAUGGAGAUCGUCGCAUUCGUCACGACAAGCUCAUCCUGCUGAGAGCCCUUCUCUGGAAGUUCCCAAUGGCGUUUGGCUUCUCCUUAUCCGGGGGUACAAUAACAUCGAGUGGCUCUUCGUCGGGGACAUCUUCGCCCAAUUUAACAGCAACAGCCGCCGCUGGAA